This 503-nucleotide ribosomal RNA is filed under the name uncultured bacterium. RNAcentral's name for it is "partial 16S ribosomal RNA". It matches the Rfam family "Bacterial small subunit ribosomal RNA", at positions 29 to 507 of the family's 1533-position model. The record is from RNAcentral.
AACGAACGCUGGCGGCGUGCCUAACACAUGCAAGUCGAACGAGAAAGGGGCUUCGGCUCCGAGUAAAGUGGCGCACGGGUGAGUAACACGUGGGUAACCUGCCUCUAAGAUUGGGAUAACUCGUCGAAAGAUGAGCUCAUACCGCAUAAGACCACAGUUCCCGCGGGAACAGGGGUCAAAGGUAGCCUCUGCUUGCAAGCUAUCACUUAGAGAUGGGCCUGCGCACCAUUAGCUAGUUGGUAGGGUAACGGCCUACCAAGGCAAAGAUGGUUAGCUGGUCUGAGAGGAUGAUCAGCCACACUGGAACUGAGACACGGUCCAGACUCCUACGGGAGGCAGCAGUGGGGAAUAUUGCGCAAUGGGCGAAAGCUUGACGCAGCAACGCCGCGUGAGUGAUGAAGGCCGUCGGGUCGUAAAGCUCUGUCGGGAGGAACGAAUGCUCCUGAGGUUAACAGCCUCGGGAGGUGACGGUACCUUCAAAGGAAGCACCGGCUAACUCUGUG